GAGAUUAAGCCAUGCAUGUUGAUGAAGUCGAUAGACGGAGUGACGGACGGCUCAGUAAUACUGCUUCGGAUCUAUAGUUGGCGGAGUCGUAACUACGGGAAUCUGUAGGUGUGUAUCGUUGAUUGUGAGUGGUAGUCCUAUCAGCUAUAUCGUAGGGUAAUGGCCUACGGUGGCGAUGACGGGUGACGGAGGAUGGAUGUCUGAUUCCGGAGAGGGAGCCUGAGAGAUGGCUACUACGUCUAAGGAUGGCAGCAGGCGCGAAACUUGUCCAAUGUUUGUAUGAGACAGUUAUGGGGAUUGAUCAGGAUACGCAGUGUCAAGAGGUGUGUGUUUGAUACUGGAGGGCAAGUCGGGUGCCAGCAGCCGCGGUAAUACCUGUUCCAGUAGUGUCUGUGGUUGAUGUUGCAGUUAAAAGGUCUGUCGCAGAUGGGUUGGGAGCUUGAAGGGGACACUGUAUGGUUGGGCGAGAGGUGAAAUGUCACGACCCUGACUGGACAAACAGAGGCGAAGGCGGUGUUCUGGCGAGUGUCGUGCUGUCAAAGACGAAAGCUGGAGGAUCGAAAUUGAUUAGAUACCGUUGUAGUUCCAGCAGUAAACGGUGGCGACUGUGGUGCAUGUUUUGUGUGCGACGAGCGAAAGCGGAAGUUUUCGGCCUCUGGGGAUAGUAUGCUCGCAAGUGUGAAACUUAAAUGAAAUUGACGGAAGGACACCACAAGUAGUGGAGAGUGCGGCUUAAUUUGACUCAACGCGGGGCAACUUACCAGUGUCGUAGACGCAUGUAGAGAUGAGUGCGUUGUGAGUGGUGCAUGGCCGUUUGCAAUGGAUGAUGUGAGUUUGUGCUUAAGUGCAGCAAGAUGUGAUGACCGGGCAGACGGGUACUAGAGGUACAGGGGGGAUGGUCUAAGACAGGUCCGUGAUGCCCUUUUGACGUGGGCUGCACGCGCGCUACAAUGGGCGCUCUGAGUGGAGUGUAUUGUGUCUUUGUGGGACAGGCGCUUGUAAAUGCGUCUCGAACACGGAAUUGCUAGUAAUUGCGAUUCACCAAGUAGCGAUGAAUGGGUCCCUGUUCUUUGUACACACCGCCCGUCGCUAUCUAAGAUUGUGUGGCAUGUGAACGUUUGUGAGCAUGUUGGACGAGAUAAGAUAUAAGUCGUAACAAGGUAACCA
RNAcentral lists this ribosomal RNA (1167 nucleotides) under Microsporidium sp. 4-YYS-2009d. RNAcentral's name for it is "SSU rRNA". It matches the Rfam family "Microsporidia small subunit ribosomal RNA". The record is from RNAcentral. Lineage: Eukaryota; Fungi; Microsporidia.